UUGACCCGCAAGGCCGACGGUACCCGCCGCCGCUGGUGCAAGCCCAGCCGCCCCCACACGGGGCGGGCGCUCAUGGGUAACAA
RNAcentral lists this ribozyme (83 nucleotides) under unclassified sequences. RNAcentral's name for it is "Twister_sister_ribozyme". It matches the Rfam family "Twister_sister_ribozyme". The record is from Rfam by way of RNAcentral.